GAAAUGCGAUAAGUAAUGUGAAUUGCAGAAUUCAGUGAAUCAUCGAAUCUUUGAACGCACAUUGCGCCCCUUGGUAUUCCGAGGGGCAUGCCUGUUCGAGCGUCAUUACAACCCUCAAGCUCUGCUUGGUAUUGGGCUCCGUCUUCACUGCGGACGCGCCUCGAAGACCUCGGCGGUGGCUGUUCGGCCCUCAAGCGUAGUAGAAUACACCUCGCUUUGGAGCGGUCGGCGUCGCCUGCCGGACGAACCUUCUGAACUUUUCUCAAGGUUGACCUCGGAUCAGGUAGGGAUACCCGCUGAACUUAAGC
This 308-nucleotide unclassified non-coding RNA is filed under the name plant metagenome. RNAcentral's name for it is "partial contains 5.8S ribosomal RNA, internal transcribed spacer 2, and large subunit ribosomal RNA". The stretch from base 1 to 105 matches the Rfam family "5.8S ribosomal RNA", at positions 50 to 154 of the family's 154-position model. The record is from RNAcentral.